RNAcentral lists this transfer RNA (73 nucleotides) under Lachnospiraceae bacterium. RNAcentral's name for it is "tRNA-Trp". It matches the Rfam family "tRNA". From Rfam's summary of the family: Transfer RNA (tRNA) molecules are approximately 80 nucleotides in length. Their secondary structure includes four short double-helical elements and three loops (D, anti-codon, and T loops). The record is from RNAcentral. RNAcentral also lists the same sequence under 3 other names. Lineage: Bacteria; Bacillati; Bacillota; Clostridia; Lachnospirales; Lachnospiraceae.
AGGGGUAUAGUUCAGUUGGUAGAAUAUCGGUCUCCAAAACCGCAGGUCGUGGGUUCAAGUCCUACUGCCCCUG